This 497-nucleotide ribosomal RNA is filed under the name uncultured bacterium. RNAcentral's name for it is "partial 16S ribosomal RNA". It matches the Rfam family "Bacterial small subunit ribosomal RNA", at positions 28 to 507 of the family's 1533-position model. The record is from RNAcentral.
GACGAACGCUGGCGGCGUGCCUAAUACAUGCAAGUUGAGCGCUGAAGGUUGGUACUUGUACCAACUGGAUGAGCAGCGAACGGGUGAGUAACGCGUGGGGAAUCUGCCUUUGAGCGGGGGACAACAUUUGGAAACGAAUGCUAAUACCGCAUAAAAACUUUAAACACAAGUUUUAAGUUUGAAAGAUGCAAUUGCAUCACUCAAAGAUGAUCCCGCGUUGUAUUAGCUAGUUGGUGAGGUAAAGGCUCACCAAGGCGAUGAUACAUAGCCGACCUGAGAGGGUGAUCGGCCACAUUGGGACUGAGACACGGCCCAAACUCCUACGGGAGGCAGCAGUAGGGAAUCUUCGGCAAUGGACGAAAGGCUGACCGAGCAACGCCGCGGGAGGGAAGAAGGUUUUCGGAUCGUAAAACUCUGUUGGUAGAGAAGAACGUUGGUGAGAGUGGAAAGCUCAUCAAGUGACGGUAACUACCCAGAAAGGGACGGCUAACUACGUG